Molecule: ribosomal RNA, 254 nt
Filed under: uncultured bacterium
Lineage: Bacteria
Description: partial 16S ribosomal RNA
Rfam family: Bacterial small subunit ribosomal RNA
Source: RNAcentral
UACGGAGGGUGCGAGCGUUGUCCGGAAUCAUUGGGCGUAAAGGGCGCGUAGGUGGCCCGGUCAGUUCGUGGUGAAAGCGCGGGGCUCAACUCCGCGUCGGCCAUGAAUACUGCUGGGCUGGAGCACUGUAGAGGCAGGCGGAAUUCCGGGUGUAGCGGUGGAAUGCGUAGAGAUCCGGAGGAACACCGACGGCGCAGGCAGCGUCCUGGCCGCUUGCUGACACUGAGGCACGAAAGCUGGGGGGAGCAAACAGG